Molecule: ribosomal RNA, 461 nt
Filed under: uncultured Methylomirabilota bacterium
Lineage: Bacteria; Methylomirabilota (SeqCode)
Description: bacterial SSU rRNA
Rfam family: Bacterial small subunit ribosomal RNA
Source: RNAcentral
GGGCUUGACAUCCCACGAACCUGCCUGAAAGGGCGGGGUGCCCGCAAGGGAGCGUGGAGACAGGUGGUGCAUGGCUGUCGUCAGCUCGUGUCGUGAGAUGUUGGGUUAAGUCCCGCAACGAGCGCAACCCUCACCCCUGGUUGCCACCGGGUAAAGCCGAGCACUCGAGGGGAACUGCCAGCGUCAAGCUGGAGGAAGGCGGGGAUGACGUCAAGUCAUCAUGCCCCUUACGCCCUGGGCUACACACGUGCUACAAUGGCCGGUACAAAGGGACGCGAGACCGCGAGGUGGAGCUAAUCCCAAAAAACCGGUCUAAGUUCAGAUUGCAGUCUGCAACUCGACUGCAUGAAGGAGGAAUCGCUAGUAAUCGCGCAUCAGCACGGCGCGGUGAAUACGUUCCCGGGCCUUGUACACACCGCCCGUCACACCACGAAAGCUGUCUGUACUCGAAGUCGCUGAGA